UAGAGUUUGAUCCUGGCUCAGGACGAGCGCUGGCGGCGUGCCUAAUACAUGCAAGUCGAACGAACUCUGGUAUUGAUUGGUGCUUGCAUCAUGAUUUACAUUUGAGUGAGUGGCGAACUGGUGAGUAACACGUGGGAAACCUGCCCAGAAGCGGGGGAUAACACCUGGAAACAGAUGCUAAUACCGCAUAACAACUUGGACCGCAUGGUCCGAGCUUGAAAGAUGGCUUCGGCUAUCACUUUUGGAUGGUCCCGCGGCGUAUUAGCUAGAUGGUGGGGUAACGGCUCACCAUGGCAAUGAUACGUAGCCGACCUGAGAGGGUAAUCGGCCACAUUGGGACUGAGACACGGCCCAAACUCCUACGGGAGGCAGCAGUAGGGAAUCUUCCACAAUGGACGAAAGUCUGAUGGAGCAACGCCGCGUGAGUGAAGAAGGGUUUCGGCUCGUAAAACUCUGUUGUUAAAGAAGAACAUAUCUGAGAGUAACUGUUCAGGUAUUGACGGUAUUUAACCAGAAAGCCACGGCUAACUACGUGCCAGCAGCCGCGGUAAUACGUAGGUGGCAAGCGUUGUCCGGAUUUAUUGGGCGUAAAGCGAGCGCAGGCGGUUUUUUAAGUCUGAUGUGAAAGCCUUCGGCUCAACCGAAGAAGUGCAUCGGAAACUGGGAAACUUGAGUGCAGAAGAGGACAGUGGAACUCCAUGUGUAGCGGUGAAAUGCGUAGAUAUAUGGAAGAACACCAGUGGCGAAGGCGGCUGUCUGGUCUGUAACUGACGCUGAGGCUCGAAAGUAUGGGUAGCAAACAGGAUUAGAUACCCUGGUAGUCCAUACCGUAAACGAUGAAUGCUAAGUGUUGGAGGGUUUCCGCCCUUCAGUGCUGCAGCUAACGCAUUAAGCAUUCCGCCUGGGGAGUACGGCCGCAAGGCUGAAACUCAAAGGAAUUGACGGGGGCCCGCACGAGCGGUGGAGCAUGUGGUUUAAUUCGAAGCUACGCGAAGAACCUUACCAGGUCUUGACAUACUAUGCAAAUCUAAGAGAUUAGACGUUCCCUUCGGGGACAUGGAUACAGGUGGUGCAUGGUUGUCGUCAGCUCGUGUCGUGAGAUGUUGGGUUAAGUCCCGCAACGAGCGCAACCCUUAUUAUCAGUUGCCAGCAUUAAGUUGGGCACUCUGGUGAGACUGCCGGUGACAAACCGGAGGAAGGUGGGGAUGACGUCAAAUCAUCAUGCCCCUUAUGACCUGGGCUACACACGUGCUACAAUGGAUGGUACAACGAGUUGCGAACUCGCGAGAGUAAGCCAAUCUCUUAAAGCCAUUCUCAGUUCGGAUUGUAGGCUGCAACUCGCCUACAUGAAGUCGGAAUCGCUAGUAAUCGCGGAUCAGCAUGCCGCGGUGAAUACGUUCCCGGGCCUUGUACACACCGCCCGUCACACCAUGAGAGUUUGUAACACCCAAAGUCGGUGGGGUAACCUUUUAGGAACCAGCCGCCUAAGGUGGGACAGAUGAUUAGGGUGAAGUCGUAACAAGGUAACC
This 1529-nucleotide ribosomal RNA is filed under the name Lactobacillus sp. T4R2C14. Its description in RNAcentral is "16S ribosomal RNA". It matches the Rfam family "Bacterial small subunit ribosomal RNA". The record is from RNAcentral. Lineage: Bacteria; Bacillati; Bacillota; Bacilli; Lactobacillales; Lactobacillaceae.